AAAGUGGCCAAACAAGACUUGAAAUUAUACAAUUUUAAAGUUAAAGGACUGUACAAUCAUCCAGAUAAACCAUCCACUGGCAGGUUUCUCUAGAAAUAUCCUGGAAAAAUAGCUUGUCUUGUCUCUGAGGCCUCCCCUGAGUCUGAGGGGCUGAGCCAGCACAGAAAAAGACGACCCAAUCAAUACCCUUGCAGGGAUGAAAAGAAGGACAUUUUGCUCCCAGGAAUUGCAGUGCUGCUACGAUUUCGAAUUACAUCACCUCAAGAAAGAAGAGACAGCCCCAUGGCAGAGCUGCAAAAGAGGACCAGUGCUCCACCUUGGUGAAAUACAGGAUGACUGGGGUGAAGGAGAUGAAGAUCAAAUUGAAGAAACCCAAGGUGGAGACAAAGUGUGCAGCUUCCCCAAAGUUGGCACUUCCGAGAAACAUCUUAAACAAGACCUGAAAUGAGAAAGAAGCUCUACAGUCACACAGAGACUUAGCCAGAGCAGAAAGGUAAUUCUGUUUCUCAAAGCUAAGUGAGUAUGAAGCAGCUGGUUCACAAAUGAAACCUUGAAUUCCAAAGCCUUCAGCAGCCCCUAAAAAUGCAGAUCUCAGACUCCACUGCUGGCAGCUGGUGUCCUCAAGUUGAAGACUGAAGAAAGCUUUCGGGAGAGCCAGCAAGAUGGCUAAAUAGGAACAGCUCUGGUCUGCAACUUCCAGAGAGAUCAACACAGAUGGUGAGUGAUUCUUGCAUUUUCAACUGAGGUACCCAAUUUAUCUUACUGGGACUGGUUGGACAGUGGGUACAGCCCAUGAAGGUGAGCUGAAGCAGUGCGGGGUGUUGCCUCGCACCCAGGAAGCCCAAAGGUUCAGGGUAUUUCCCUUUCCUAUCCAAGAAAAGCCUUAAGAAACGAUACCAGAAGGAACAUGCACUCUGAUCCAGAUACUGCAUUUUACCCACAAUCUUCACA
This is a long non-coding RNA of Cebus imitator (Panamanian white-faced capuchin), 951 nucleotides long. RefSeq lists it as uncharacterized. The record is from RefSeq and is a predicted model, not a curated record. Lineage: Eukaryota; Metazoa; Chordata; Mammalia; Primates; Cebidae. The transcript has 5 exons.